CUAGUGAUUAGAGUUUGAUCAUGGCUCAGGAUGAACGCUGGCGGUAUGCCUAACACAUGCAAGUCGAACGAAAUAUUAAAUUUUAGUGGCGAACGGGUGCGUAAUACGUGAGAAUCUACUCUUAGGAAAAGAAAAACUAAAAACUAAUUCUUUAUAUACCAAAAGGUAAAAGGUCUAGUACCGCCUGGGGAUGAGCUCACGCCUGAUUAGCUAGUUGGUGGGGUAAUAGCUUACCAAGGCCACGAUCAGUAGCUGGUUUGAGAGAACGAUCAGCCACACUGGGACUGAGACACGGCCCAGACUCCUCCGGGAGGCAGCAGUGAGGAAUUUUCCGCAAUGGGCGAAAGCCUGACGGAGCAAUACCGCAUGGGGGAAGAAGGAUCUUGGUCUGUAAACCUCUUUUCUCAAGAAAUAAGAUCUGACAGUACUUGAAGAAUAAGCAUCGGCUAACUCCGUGCCAGCAGCCGCGGUAAUACGGGGGAUGCAAGCGUUAUUCGGAAUUAUUGGGCGUAAAGCGUCUGUAGGUUGUUUGCUAAGUCUGUUGUUAAAGGCUAGAGCUUAACUCUAAGAAGACAAUGGAUACUUGCAGGCUAGAGUAUGGUAGGGGUAGAGGGAAUUUCUAGUGUAGCGGUGAAAUGCGUAGAUAUUAGAAAGAACACCAGUGACGAAAGUGCUCUACUGGAACAUUACUGACACUCAGAGACGAAAGCCAGGGGAGCAAAAGGGAUUAGAUACCCCUGUAGUCCUGGCCGUAAACGAUGGAUACUAGAUGUUGUGUACAGCAGUAUCAUAGCUAACGCGUUAAGUAUCCCGCCUGGGGAGUACGCUCGCAAGGGUGAAACUCAAAGGAAUUGACGGGGGCCCGCACAAGCGGUGGAGCAUGUGGUUUAAUUCGAUGCAACGCGAAGAACCUUACCAGGAUUUGACAUACUACGAAUUCUUUUGAAAAAAAGAUUUGCCUUCGGGAGCGUAGAUACAGGUGGUGCAUGGCUGUCGUCAGCUCGUGUCGUGAGAUGUUGGGUUAAGUCCCGCAACGAGCGCAACCCUUAUUUUUAGUUGCCAGCUUGAAAAGUAUGUAUUACAUGCUUGUUGGAUCUUUAAAAAGACUGCCGGUGACAAACCGGAGGAAGGUGAGGAUGACGUCAAGUCAGCAUGCCCCUUAUACCCUGGGCUACACACGUGCUACAAUGGUUAAUAUAAUCAGUGGCGAGUUCGUAAGAAUCAGCAAAUCUAAUAAAAGUUAACCUAAGUUCGGAUUGUAGG
RNAcentral lists this ribosomal RNA (1263 nucleotides) under unidentified marine bacterioplankton. RNAcentral's name for it is "bacterial SSU rRNA". It matches the Rfam family "Bacterial small subunit ribosomal RNA", at positions 1 to 1304 of the family's 1533-position model. The record is from RNAcentral.